UGCAUUUGAAGCCCAUGAGGAUGAGAACCUCCGGGGGCGGGGAGGUUCGACUCGAGCGAAGCGAGAGAACGUUGCGCCAGCAACGGCCCGCAGGGCGAGCCACGAAGUGGCGAGUAAUCCUCUAUCACCG
Molecule: small RNA, 130 nt
Filed under: Escherichia coli
Lineage: Bacteria; Pseudomonadati; Pseudomonadota; Gammaproteobacteria; Enterobacterales; Enterobacteriaceae
Also listed under: 1 other name
Description: RtT sRNA
Rfam family: RtT RNA
About the family: This family represents a bacterial cis-regulatory element known as RtT RNA. The exact function of RtT is unknown although it is thought that it may be involved in changing the cellular response in relation to amino acid starvation.
Source: RNAcentral